RNAcentral lists this ribosomal RNA (387 nucleotides) under uncultured bacterium. RNAcentral's name for it is "bacterial SSU rRNA". It matches the Rfam family "Bacterial small subunit ribosomal RNA", at positions 28 to 417 of the family's 1533-position model. The record is from RNAcentral.
AUUGAACGCUGGCGGCAUGCUUUACACAUGCAAGUCGAGCGGCAGCGCGGGGGCAACCCUGGCGGCGAGCGGCGGACGGGUGAGUAAUGCAUCGGAACGUAUCCCGUAGUGGGGGACAACCCAGCGAAAGCUGGGCUAAUACCGCAUAUGCUCUACGGAGGAAAGUGGGGGACCCGCAAGGGCCUCACGCUAUGGGAGCGGCCGAUGUCCGAUUAGCUAGUUGGUGGGGUAAAGGCCUACCAAGGCGACGAUCGGUAGCUGGUCUGAGAGGAUGAUCAGCCACACUGGGACUGAGACACGGCCCAGACUCCUACGGAGGCAGCAUGGGGAAUUUUGGACAAUGGGGGCAACCCUGAUCCAGCCAUGCCGCGUGCGGGAAGAAGGCCU